GCAUCUUCUGAGGAAGAAAGGAUUUAUUCGGUACAGGAUGGGCCCGCAUCUGAUUAGCUAGUUGGUGAGAUAACAGCCCACCAAGGCGACGAUCAGUAGCCGACCUGAGAGGGUGAUCGGCCACAUUGGGACUGAGACACGGCCCAAACUCCUACGGGAGGCAGCAGUGGGGAAUAUUGCACAAUGGGCGAAAGCCUGAUGCAGCAACGCCGCGUGAAGGAUGAAGGGUUUCGGCUCGUAAACUUCUAUCAAUAGGGAAGAAACAAAUGACGGUACCUAAAUAAGAAGCCCCGGCUAACUACGUGCCAGCAGCCGCGGUAAUACGUAGGGGGCAAGCGUUAUCCGGAAUUACUGGGUGUAAAGGGAGCGUAGGCGGCAUGGUAAGCCAGAUGUGAAAGCCUUGGGCUUAACCCGAGGAUUGCAUUUGGAACUAUCAAGCUAGAGUACAGGAGAGGAAAGCGGAAUUCCUAGUGUAGCGGUGAAAUGCGUAGAUAUUAGGAAGAACACCAGUGGCGAAGGCGGCUUUCUGGACUGAAACUGACGCUGAGGCUCGAAAGCGUGGGGAGCAAACAGGAUUAGAUACCCUGGUAGUCCACGCCGUAAACGAUGAGUGCUAGGUGUCGGGGAGGAAUCCUCGGUGCCG
RNAcentral lists this ribosomal RNA (643 nucleotides) under uncultured bacterium. RNAcentral describes it as "bacterial SSU rRNA". It matches the Rfam family "Bacterial small subunit ribosomal RNA", at positions 187 to 848 of the family's 1533-position model. The record is from RNAcentral.